This 125-nucleotide small RNA is filed under the name Marmota monax (woodchuck). Lineage: Eukaryota; Metazoa; Chordata; Mammalia; Rodentia; Sciuridae. The record is from RNAcentral.
GCUGGGUAUGGUGGUGCACACCUGUAAUCCGCAUGACUCAGGAGGCUGAGACAGGAGGAUCACAAGUUUAAAGCUAGCCUCAGCAAUGGCAAGGUACUUAGCAACUCAGUGAGACCCUAUCUCUA